This is an RNA transcript of Xiphophorus maculatus (southern platyfish), 1589 nucleotides long. It is a transcript of the gene named cell surface A33 antigen-like, with no coding region annotated. The record is from RefSeq and is a predicted model, not a curated record. Lineage: Eukaryota; Metazoa; Chordata; Actinopteri; Cyprinodontiformes; Poeciliidae. The transcript is spliced from 6 exons.
AAGGAAAAGAAGAAGAAGAAGAAGACUUGUUAUUCCAGAUGCCACACCUGCAGUUUCAUCGCUUCCUGUUUAGGAGUUGAACAUCAGGUUUUGUUUUUAUCUCUUUACUCGGUUCUGGUUCUGGUUCUGGUUCUGGUGUUUGUCUGGAUUCCAGGUGUUAGAAAAUGUCCGCAGUUACCUGGUUGCUCUGCGGACUCUCUCUGCUCUCUGCCAGACUUCCAGUCUUUGUCUCCGCAGAUCAGACGAUCCGAGCUGAACAUGGACAGACGGUCGCUCUGCCGUGCCGCCUGGCCAGCAGAGACCCGGUUCUGGUGGUGGAGUGGAGCAGAACCGAUCUGGGCUCAGAUUACGUUCUCCUGUUUCGGGACGAGCAGAUCGACCCGUUUAACCAGCAUCCGUCCUAUCAGAACCGGGUCGGACUGAAGGACCUGGAGAACAGAGACGUGUCUCUGGUUCUGGUGGACGGGACGACUGAUGACAACGGGACGUACGAGUGUCGGGUCGUUCAGACCGGAAAGAACCGCAGGAAGCAACUAAUCAGCUCCGUCCACCUGGUUGUAGCUCCGCCCCCUCCUUCAGCUCGCUUUGAGAAACUCACAGGAGACCAGAGAACCCGGACCGGAUCAGAGGAGGAGGGAGGAAGCCAGGAGCUGUUGACCUCUGACCCUACAGCUGGAAGUGAAGCUGAAGUGACCAAAUAUGGAGGAAGCCUUGUUGGGGAGGUGCAGCUAGCUGAAGCAUUAAAAGUUCAGUUCGUUCAACAGAACCAGGAUGGAGAGAAGAAGAACCAGAGCAGAACGGUUCCUGGACUGAUUGUUUCUCUCUUCCUCUUCUCUCUGGUUGUUUCUGCGUUUAUUUCUUUAACUCUGUGGAAGAAGAAACGACCUGAAACUCAUCGUCCAGUGAUCUGACUGAAACUCAUCGUCCAGUGAUCUGACUGAAACUCAUCGUCCAGUGGUUCCUGUUAAUCUGCAGACCUGAUGCAGAAAUAUGUUGCAACUUCCCAGCAUCUGACUGGAUUCUGGAUUCAGCUGAAGCCGUUCUGGUGAAACUGGACCCGGAAAAAGUUCUGCUGCAGGAAAUGAACCAGGAUGAAAAUAUCCAAACACUCGUCUCACUAAUUCACCACUUAAAUCUCUUCUGAUAUUUCUGUCGCAAAUGUCUGACUUUAUAAUUUGCUUUUUUCAUGCAACUUCUUAACUUUACAAGAAAUUAUUUCAAUUUUAAUAUUGUAAAUUCUUUAGUUUGUUUUCUGGCCAAUUUAUUCAGCUUUACAUCUAAAUAUUAUUUUUACUUCUAUGAAUAUUCCAUGUUUUUUGCUUGUUAGAAGUUUUGUUUUAUUUUGUUUGGGUCAAAUUUUCUCCUGCAUGUAGAAAAAGUUUUCUUCUUUAAUCUGUGGUGGCUCUGAUUCUCUAGAGUUCAGUUUAUAAAGUAAAUGAUUGUAGUAAUUGUUUGGGUUCUGUCCUUUAUGCAGUUUAAUUGUCUUACAUAAACAGAGUUUUAUUUUUCACAGACUGUUUAAUCAGAAACUUUUUAUUGAGUUUAUUUAGGAUAUAAAAUGAUCAUAAAAUAAAAAUUAUAUAAACAGA